UUUCGGCCAUAUCAUGUUGAAACACUAAUUUUCAAAUGAUUACUGAAGUUAAGCAACAUCAAGCCUGGUCAGUACCUGGAUAGGUGACCGCUUAGGAAUACCAGGUGCU
Molecule: non-coding RNA, 109 nt
Organism: Acanthosepion pharaonis
Lineage: Eukaryota; Metazoa; Mollusca; Cephalopoda; Sepiida; Sepiidae
Source: the annotation of a GenBank genome assembly